Brassica napus (rape) is the source of this 1459-nucleotide RNA transcript. It is a transcript of the gene named U2 small nuclear ribonucleoprotein B'', with no coding region annotated. Lineage: Eukaryota; Viridiplantae; Streptophyta; Magnoliopsida; Brassicales; Brassicaceae. The record is from RefSeq and is a predicted model, not a curated record. The transcript is spliced from 11 exons.
CAUCUCCCAACGCCGGCGAUUAUUACCACCGUCAACCUCGCCGCCGGCCAGAGAGAAAAAUGGCGGCGUAUCACCAACCGUACUACGUCUACAAUCCUCAUCCUCUUCCGCAACUCGCCGACGAACCUGGGGCGAUCAACACACUCUUCGUCUCCGGCUUGCCUGACGACGUCAAGGCUCGUGAGAUCCACAACCUCUUCCGCCGUCGUCCCGGAUUCGAGUCUUCACAGCUCAAGUACACCGGACGCGGCGACCAGGUUGUUGCGUUUGCAACGUUCUCGAGUCAUGGGUUCGCUAUGGCUGCAAUGAAUGAGCUAAAUGGUGUGAAGUUUGAUCCUCAGACAGGAUCGACUCUGCAUAUAGAAGUAGCUAGAUCAAACUCUAGAAGGAAAGAAAGGCCAGGAAGUGGGCCUUAUGUGGUGAUUGAUAACAGAAACAAGGAACCAUCUAAAUCUCAGGACGGCCAGAGUGGUGAAGGGGAAAGCGAUCCUGAUGAGGCGGAGGAACCGGGGAAUAGCAAUUCUCCAAAGGGAAACGAUAGUACCAAAAGCGAAGUGGACUCUGAUCAAGAUAGUAAAGCACCACCUACUAGUGGGCAUUUGGAAAAAGCAUUUGAAGGAGGUUCUGGUGCUCGACCAUGUUCCACCUUGUUUAUAGCCAAUCUAGGGCCUAAUUGUACAGAAGAUGAACUCAAACAACUCCUGUCUAGGUAUCCUGGUUUCAAUAUUCUGAAAAUCCGAGCAAGAGGCGGAAUGCCAGUUGCAUUUGCUGAUUUUGAGGAAAUUGAACAAGCGACUUAUGUCAUGAAUGAUCUUCAAGGCAACCUCCUAUCGUCUUCAGACCGAGGCGGCAUGCAUAUAGAAUAUGCAAGAUCCAAGAUGAGGAAACAGUAGAAGAUUCUCAUAAACAGUAAGCCUAGCUUCCGAGAACAUGAUUGAGGGAUCAUAAGCAAAGGAACAUGUGUUUCUUAUUUUUAAAGUCACCACUAGUUUAAUUGUUGUCAUGAAGAUGGGUCCUUCUAUGCUGACACUUCGAAAUAUGUAUGAUCUUGGAUAGAGUGAAUCAAGUUCUUGGUCUUGUCAUGGUCCCCUGAAGGUCAAUUAAUCACUGCCCCCACCCAUGUCCUCUCCAGUUUUGGGCUUUUCUUUGUGUGUGUAUAUAUAGCAUCUUAUCUUUGUUCAAUUGAGAAAUAAAUGUUGAUUGGUGAUGCGGAUAGGCAGAAAAGAUACCCCAAGGCAAGGACCCAAUGCAUCACUGUAUUGGCAGGCAACUCAGUUUUUCAUGCAUCAUUAUUACAUUGGCAAAGACUUGCACUGUCGUGCUUGUAAGGAAAGCCUUCAGUGUUUUGUUUUCUCUUGUUCCUCUCUCUGUGUGUACACACUGCAUAACAAAUCUCUUGACCCUCCAAAACCAAUAAUUCAAAUUCAAAAGAAGAUUGAAGCCUCUACUUGUUUUGUCA